This 462-nucleotide ribosomal RNA is filed under the name uncultured bacterium. Its description in RNAcentral is "partial 16S ribosomal RNA". It matches the Rfam family "Bacterial small subunit ribosomal RNA", at positions 28 to 507 of the family's 1533-position model. The record is from RNAcentral.
GACGAACGCUGGCGGCGUGCUUAACACAUGCAAGUCGAGCGGUAAGGCCUUUCGGGGUACACGAGCGGCGAACGGGUGAGUAACACGUGGGUGAUCUGCCCUGCACUUCGGGAUGAGCCUGGGAAACUGGGUCUAAUACCGGAUAUGACCUCCUAUCGCAUGGUGGGUGGUGGAAAGAUUUAUCGGUGCAGGAUGGGCCCGCGGCCUAUCAGCUUGUUGGUGGGGUAAUGGCCUACCAAGGCGACGACGGGUAGCCGACCUGAGAGGGUGACCGGCCACACUGGGACUGAGACACGGCCCAGACUCCUACGGGAGGCAGCAGUGGGGAAUAUUGCACAAUGGGCGAAAGCCUGAUGCAGCGACGCCGCGUGAGGGAUGACGGCCUUCGGGUUGUAAACCUCUUCCAGCAGGGACGAAGCGCAAGUGACGGUACCUGCAGAAGAAGCACCGGCUAACUACGUG